Populus euphratica (Euphrates poplar) is the source of this 792-nucleotide long non-coding RNA. RefSeq lists it as uncharacterized. Lineage: Eukaryota; Viridiplantae; Streptophyta; Magnoliopsida; Malpighiales; Salicaceae. The transcript has 2 exons. The record is from RefSeq and is a predicted model, not a curated record.
UGUCAGGGUCAGUUCAUUAGCUGAAGCUUGUCGCAUAUAAUCCAGAAGGAUAACAUGAUGGCAUCUUCUCCUUUUCAACGAUAUUAACCAUAUGCCUUGUUGCUAUUGGUAAACUCACACUUGAAGUUUAGAUUUGGCUUAUCUCUUCUCAACUUGCGUUUCCCCCAUGUCUUCAACAGUCAAUAUUACUGUGAAAUAGACAGAGAGAGAGGGAGAACUGGCUAUUUUCUUGUUUACAUGUCUCUUGGAGUUUCCAAAAGCUAAAAUAGACUAUAGGAUAUCUUCUAUUUUUUAAAAAAAAAAAAUUGGUAUUUUCUCUCUCUUUUCCCAUUGUGGUAAUAGGGAAAAGCCAUUAUAUAUAUAUAUAUAUGUCGGUGGCUUUAAUUUGAAAAGUUAGGGAGAGGGGGGACGCAAGGAAAGAAGGAGAGAGCAAAUAAAAAUGGUGAUACAAAGAUUAGAGAUGUGCAUAGCCCUGGCGAAACUGGCUAUGGAGUUUAUCAUGGCUGUGGUUGAAGCAAUUGGAAUAGUUAUUCAACAGAAUGGUACAGCUGCGCCGCUAGCAAACCAUCUUUAUAUUGCUCCGGUUCCUUUUGUUGGUUUUCUUCCAUGAAAGUUGAUCGCUCUGUCAAGUUUCUUCACAAGAAAGCGUCUACUCUUUCAGAGGCUAGAACACGAGACCUGCAGGAGACUCUAUCUCUCCAGUUGAGUUACAUGCUCGACGAUUUUGAUGGUUCAGUUUCUUGAUUAUCUCUGGAAGUAAUUAAUCUACUAUUCCCAUUAAUUAACUUGCAA